AACGAACGCUGGCGGUAGGCCUAACACAUGCAAGUCGAACGACACCACCGUAAGAACUUGCUCUUACGUGUGUCGCGCGUCGGACGGUUGCGUUAUACUCCGAAAUCUACUUUUUCGUGGGUGCUAACGUCGGGAAACUUACUCGAAUCCCACAUACAACCCACGGGUAAAAGCACGGGUUCUUCGGGCCUUUCGCUAUGGUAUAAGCCGAGGUCGGAUUCGCUCGUUGGCGGGUUAAAGGCCCACCAAGGCGACGAUGCGUCGCGGGUCUGACAGGAUGAUCAGCCACACGGGAUCAGAGACAGGGUCCAGACUCUUACGGGAGGACGCAGUGGGGAAUAUUGGACAAGGGGGGCAAGGCGGAUCCAGGCAUACGGCGGGAGUGAAGAAGGCCUUAGGGUUGUAAAGCCCUGUUGGUGGGAAAGAAAUGCAGCAGGUUAAUCCCGCGCUGUUCUGACGGUACCGAAAGAAUAAGCACCGGCUAACUUCGUG
Molecule: ribosomal RNA, 492 nt
Filed under: uncultured bacterium
Lineage: Bacteria
Description: partial 16S ribosomal RNA
Rfam family: Bacterial small subunit ribosomal RNA
Source: RNAcentral